Molecule: ribosomal RNA, 1215 nt
Filed under: uncultured prokaryote
Description: partial 16S ribosomal RNA
Rfam family: Archaeal small subunit ribosomal RNA
Source: RNAcentral
GCCUUCGGGUCACCGGCGUCAUGCUCAGUAACACGUCGAUAAUCUGCCCUAUGGUCAGGGAUAGCCUUGGGAAACUGAGGGUAAUACCUGAUAUGAGAAUAUGCCUGGAAUGGUUUUUCUUUGAAAGAUAACGCCAUAGGAUGAGUCGGCGGCGGAUUAGGUUGUUGGUGGGGUAAAGGCCCACCAAGCCGAAGAGCCGUAGGGGCCUUGAGAGAGGGAGCCCCGAGAAGGACACUGAAACACGGGUCCUAGCCCUACGGGGUGCAGCAGGCGCGGAACCUCUACAAUGCAGGAAACUGUGAUAGGGGGAUCCCAAGUGCUUACGCUUUGCGUAAGCUUUUGCCAAGGGUAAAAACCUUGGAGAAUAAGUGGUGGGAAAGACUGGUGCCAGCCGCCGCGGUAACACCAGCGCCACAAGUGGCAAUCGCUUUUAUUGGGCCUAAAGCGUCCGUAGCCGGUCAAGUAAAUCUUUUGUGAAAUCGUACAGCCAAACUGAACGGCGUGCAGAAGAGACUGCUUGACUUGAAACCGGGAGGAGUCAGAAGUAUGCAUAGGGGAGCAGUAAAAUGCUAUAAUCCUUUGUAGACUACCGGUGGCGAAGGCGUCUGACUAGAACGGAUCUGACGGUGAGGGACGAAAGCUAGGGGAGCAAUCCGGAUUAGAUACCCGAGUAGUCCUAGCUGUAAACUCUGCGAGCUAGGUGUUGCAUAUUCUCCGAGAAUAUGCAGUGUCGAAGCGAAGGUGUUAAGCUCGCCGCCUGGGAAGUAUGGUCGCAAGACUGAAACUUAAAGGAAUUGGCGGGGGCGCACUACAAGGGGUGAGGCGUGCGGUUUAAUCCAAUUCCACACGGAAAAUCUCACCAGGAGCGACGGCAGGAUGAAGGUCAGUCUAAAGGGCUUACCCAACGAGCCGAGAGGUAGUGCAUGGCCGUCGUCAGCUCGUGCCGCAAGGUGUCCUGUUAAGUCAGGCAACGAGCGAGACCUAUACUUACAAUUGCCAGCAAGGCUUUUGCGGAUUGAGCACAUUGUGAGGACUGCCCUCGAAAGAAGGAGGAAGGUGCAGGCAACGGUAGGUCUGUAUGCUCCGAAUCUCCUGGGCAACACGCGCGCAACAAUGGUAGGGACAAUGGGAUGCGACUCCGAAAGGAGGAGCUAAACCUCUAAACCCUAUCUUAGUCCAGAUCGAGGGUUGCAACUCACCCUCGUGACGCUGGAA